AGAGUUUGAUCCUGGCUCAGGAUGAACGCUAGCGGCAGGCUUAACACAUGCAAGUCGAGGGGCAGCACGGGUAGCAAUACUUGGUGGCGACCGGCGCAAGGGUGCGUAACGCGUGAGCAACAUGCCCGUAUCAGGGGGAUAAUCCAUGGAAACGUGGUCUAAUACCCCAUAGUAAGUUUUUGGGGCAUCUCAAAGAUUUUAAAGCUUUGGUGGAUACGGAUUGGCUCGCGUGACAUUAGCUAGAUGGUAAGGUAACGGCUUACCAUGGCUACGAUGUCUAGGGGUUCUGAGAGGAAGGUCCCCCACACUGGAACUGAGACACGGUCCAGACUCCUACGGGAGGCAGCAGUGAGGAAUAUUGGACAAUGGAUGGAAAUCUGAUCCAGCCAUGCCGCGUGCAGGAAGACGGCCCUAUGGGUUGUAAACUGCUUUUGUAUGGGAGCAAUAAGAUCUACGUGUAGAUUGAUGAGAGUACCAUACGAAUAAGCACCGGCUAACUCCGUGCCAGCAGCCGCGGUAAUACGGAGGGUGCAAGCGUUAUCCGGAUUUAUUGGGUUUAAAGGGUGCGUAGGCGGUUUGAUAAGUCAGCGGUGAAAUAUUUCAGCUUAACUGGAAGGGUGCCGUUGAUACUGUCGAGCUUGAAUUUAGUUGCUGUGGGUGGAAUGUGUGGUGUAGCGGUGAAAUGCAUAGAUAUCACACAGAAUAUCGAUUGCGAAGGCAGCUCACAAAGCUAAUAUUGACGCUGAUGCACGAAAGUGUGGGGAUCAAACAGGAUUAGAUACCCUGGUAGUCG
Molecule: ribosomal RNA, 793 nt
Filed under: uncultured bacterium
Lineage: Bacteria
Description: bacterial SSU rRNA
Rfam family: Bacterial small subunit ribosomal RNA
Source: RNAcentral